AUCUUUACACCUGGGGCAAUGACGCAACUAGUGAGGUACUAACCGAGGCGCGUCAAUUGCUAGUUGAAAACUAUUUCCAAACCCCUUCUUUGGCUUGGGUUCUGCCUUGGCCAUUGAGAAUUUUUGAACGGGCUUCCCUUCUGGGUAAAGCC
Small nuclear RNA from Lycium barbarum (goji berry), 152 nucleotides. RefSeq annotates it as U4 spliceosomal RNA. The record is from RefSeq and is a predicted model, not a curated record. The transcript has a single exon. Lineage: Eukaryota; Viridiplantae; Streptophyta; Magnoliopsida; Solanales; Solanaceae.